CCUACGGGGGGCAGCAGUGGGGAAUAUUGCGCAAUGGGCGAAAGCCUGAACCAGCCAAGUCGCGUGAGGGAGGACGGCCCUACGGGUUGUAAACCUCUUUUGCCGGGGAGCAACGGGCGCCACGUGUGGCGCCACUGAGAGUACCCGGAGAAAAAGCAUCGGCUAACUCCGUGCCAGCAGCCGCGGUAAUACGGAGGAUGCGAGCGUUAUCCGGAUUUAUUGGGUUUAAAGGGUGCGUAGGCGGAUCGUUAAGUCAGUGGUCAAAUUGAGGGGCUCAACCCCUUCCCGCCAUUGAAACUGGCGUUCUUGAGUGGAAGAGAAGUAUGCGGAAUGCGUGGUGUAGCGGUGAAAUGCAUAGAUAUCACGCAGAACCCCGAUUGCGAAGGCAGCAUGCCGGCUUCCGACUGACGCUGAAGCACGAAAGCGUGGGGAUCGAACAGGAUUAGAUACCCUUGUAGUC
RNAcentral lists this ribosomal RNA (460 nucleotides) under uncultured bacterium. RNAcentral describes it as "partial 16S ribosomal RNA". It matches the Rfam family "Bacterial small subunit ribosomal RNA", at positions 338 to 795 of the family's 1533-position model. The record is from RNAcentral.